RNAcentral lists this long non-coding RNA (592 nucleotides) under Homo sapiens (human). Its description in RNAcentral is "non-protein coding lnc-S1PR1-1:1". The record is from RNAcentral. Lineage: Eukaryota; Metazoa; Chordata; Mammalia; Primates; Hominidae.
CAAAAUAGUCAGGAAAGUUAUGAAGUAACAUCAUAUAAUACUUUAUCCCCAACAAUAUUAAAUGUGAUUACAAUUUUACAGAAUAUUCAAAUCAAAAUGUUAUAUAAGACAAAUUAUUAUUCUUGCUUUUACAUCUCCUUAGAAGGAGAAACAUUCAAUUGUUUUAAAAAUGUUCUAUUUAUUUUUCAGAAAUGAGGUGUUGCCUUCUUGCCCAGGCUAGUAUGCAGUGGCACAAUCAUAGCUCACUGCAGCCUUGAAUUCUUGGGCUCAAGUGAUCUUCCUGCCCCAAGCCUCCCAAGUAGCUGGGACCACAGGCACGUGCCACCAUGCCUGGCUGAUUUUUUUUUUUUUUUAAUGUUUUGUAGAGACAGGAUCUCAGUAUGUUGCGCAGGCUGGUCUUUAAUUCCUGGGCUCAAGUGAUCCUCCCAUAGAUUUGUCUGUGUUUUCUCUAAAUAGGUUAUAAAUACCUUGAGGGAGGAAUCACAAAUAACUAAAAGAAACUUUUGUAGAGACUAUCAGAGUAUUAUUUCCUUGUGGACACAGUAAAUGUAUGAUGAUGAGAAAUCAUAAUAAACUACAACAUUUUCUCCAA